This 252-nucleotide ribosomal RNA is filed under the name uncultured bacterium. RNAcentral's name for it is "partial 16S ribosomal RNA". It matches the Rfam family "Bacterial small subunit ribosomal RNA", at positions 524 to 776 of the family's 1533-position model. The record is from RNAcentral.
UACGAAGGGGGCUAGCGUUGCUCGGAAUCACUGGGCGUAAAGGGUGCGUAGGCGGGUCUUUAAGUCAGGGGUGAAAUCCUGGAGCUCAACUCCAGAACUGCCUUUGAUACUGAGAUCUUGAGUUCGGGAGAGGUGAGUGGAACUGCGAGUGUAGAGGUGAAAUUCGUAGAUAUUCGCAAGAACACCAGUGGCGAAGGCGGCUCACUGGCCCGAUACUGACGCUGAGGCACGAAAGCGUGGGGAGCAAACAGG